CUUGCUUGGUGGCGCACUUGGACUAGUUCUUGGUGGGCAAACGUAUACUUCUAGUUUAUAGAACCAAACGUUGUAAAGCCCGCUACUUAAGCGGGCUUUUUUG
Molecule: small RNA, 103 nt
Filed under: Vibrio alginolyticus
Lineage: Bacteria; Pseudomonadati; Pseudomonadota; Gammaproteobacteria; Vibrionales; Vibrionaceae
Also listed under: 1 other name
Description: Tryptophan operon leader
Rfam family: Tryptophan operon leader
About the family: At least 6 amino acid operons are known to be regulated by attenuation.
Source: RNAcentral